Molecule: ribosomal RNA, 231 nt
Filed under: uncultured bacterium
Lineage: Bacteria
Description: partial 16S ribosomal RNA
Rfam family: Bacterial small subunit ribosomal RNA
Source: RNAcentral
CGGACGGGUGAGUAAUGUCUGGGAAACUGCCUGAUGGAGGGGGAUAACUACUGGAAACGGUAGCUAAUACCGCAUAACGUCGCAAGACCAAAGGGGGGACCUUCGGGCCUCUUGCCAUCGGAUGUGCCCAGAUGGGAUUAGCUAGUAGGUGGGGUAACGGCUCACCUAGGCGACGAUCCCUAGCUGGUCUGAGAGGAUGACCAGUCACACUGGAACUGAGACACGGUCCAG